Molecule: long non-coding RNA, 982 nt
Organism: Physeter macrocephalus (sperm whale)
Lineage: Eukaryota; Metazoa; Chordata; Mammalia; Artiodactyla; Physeteridae
Exons: 3
Source: RefSeq, a predicted model, not a curated record
CGGCUUCUUCAAAAGGGUCUGCAGCUGCCCUGCGGGGAGGCCUGUUCAGAGCCUCUGGGGUUGUUGGAAAGUGGAGGGAGGAGGGGAGCGGGUGGGGAGGAGACCUGGAGAGCUGCCACCCGAGUGAGGCCGGUGACAGGAAGAAUCUAUCCAUCUUGCGUGCAGCGCCAAAUAUGGUGCUGGGGCUCAGUCGGUAAUAAACAAUGGUCACAUAGCUGGCUCGACAAGGAGAGACAUGACAGGGGAGCGAAGGGAAGGCCUGACGUCACCUUGUGAGGUCCCGGCUGAGCAGGCCGGCUCACCCCAGGGUGCUGGAAUCCCAUAUUUGUCCUUGUUGAGCCCACAUGUGCUUUGUUCUUGACAGAUUGUGCCCAAAGCGAGAAGGGGGAAACUGAGGCCACGGAGCAUGUUGAAAUGGGUUCUUGGCACUGCCCCCUGGGCCAGUAGACUUUCCGAGGGCCUGGUAUGGAUUGAGCCCCUGUGUCUUGCAGUCUCCGCUCACUUUUGGCAGCAGCAGCCAGGCUCUCAGUGACAAUGAGAGCGAACGUUAUUGCUGGAAAUACAGUAAGUCCUCUACACACGAACCUUCAAAGUUGCGAACUUUCAAAGAUUCGAACCUACGUUCGCGUGUCCAAUCACGCCCAGGAUGUCUGGAAGCAAGCGUAAAAGCAGCGGUGAUGUAGCUGGUACUGCUAAGAAGGGCCAGCUGUUGUCCUGUACUACUGUACUUUUCAAGUUGUGAGAUGUAUCUGGAGCUUGUGUCUUAUAUGACCACAGAGAGGAAUAGCUGAUGAAGGAGGUAAGAUCACGCUGUGGUGAGAAGAACACAGGAUUUUGAGCCAGAAAGACCUGCCUUUGCAUCCCAGCUGUUCACACCUGUGAACCCUUUGAGUGUCCAACCUACACACCAAGCUUACAUUUAUCCAUAAAACAGUGCGAUCUCUCCCACUUUGCAGGGUUUGCAUGAGAGCCAGAAAUAGCC